Molecule: ribosomal RNA, 475 nt
Filed under: uncultured bacterium
Lineage: Bacteria
Description: bacterial SSU rRNA
Rfam family: Bacterial small subunit ribosomal RNA
Source: RNAcentral
AUUGAACGCUGGCGGCAUGCCUUACACAUGCAAGUCGAACGGCAGCGGGCCUUCGGGUGCCGGCGAGUGGCGAACGGGUGAGUAAUGCAUCGGAACGUGCCAUUGAGUGGGGGAUAACGUAGCGAAAGUUGCGCUAAUACCGCAUAUUCUGUGAGCAGGAAAGCAGGGGACCGCAAGGCCUUGCGCUCUUUGAGCGGCCGAUGUCAGAUUAGCUAGUUGGUGAGGUAAAGGCUUACCAAGGCGACGAUCUGUAGCGGGUCUGAGAGGAUGAUCCGCCACACCGGAACUGAGACACGGUCCAGACUCCUACGGGAGGCAGCAGUGGGGAAUCUUAGACAAUGGGCGCAAGCCUGAUCUAGCCAUGCCGCGUGAGCGAUGAAGGCCUUAGGGUUGUAAAGCUCUUUCAGUGGGGAAGAUAAUGACUGUACCCACAGAAGAAGCCCCGGCUAACUCCGUGCCAGCAGCCGCGGUAAAG